This is a non-coding RNA of Helianthus annuus (common sunflower), 107 nucleotides long. NCBI's taxonomy places the organism in Eukaryota, Viridiplantae, Streptophyta, Magnoliopsida, Asterales, Asteraceae. The record is from Rfam.
AUUCCAUGAUGAGGGCAGUUUUUAAUCAUCAUGUUAAAACGCUCAAACGCCUCAUGGAACAUCUCACCGUGUUGUUGUUGAAAGCUUCUCAAUCCCUUCCGCACAUC